GCGUAUUUAUGUUUUGGAAUGCAGUAUAGAACAAUACAUCAACAGAAUUUUUAUUAUCAAUUAAUAUUUUUUUUAUAUCAUAUUUUGCUAUUGUCAUAGAGACGACAACAGCAUCAUUAUGAGGAGUUUGGACUUCUUGAACAUCAACAUCGAAAAAUGAAAUGAUAUUGCCAAUAUAUUGCCGCUUUAGGGAAGGACUCUUGCCUACCUCCCUAUCUUCAUCGGGACCUGAGAUCAUAUUAAUGACCCCAAUAGUAGGCCGAUUGAGUUCAGCAUCAUC
Molecule: long non-coding RNA, 280 nt
Filed under: Elaeis guineensis (African oil palm)
Lineage: Eukaryota; Viridiplantae; Streptophyta; Magnoliopsida; Arecales; Arecaceae
Description: long non-coding RNA (EGUI_LNC037045)
Source: RNAcentral